RNAcentral lists this ribosomal RNA (491 nucleotides) under uncultured bacterium. Its description in RNAcentral is "partial 16S ribosomal RNA". It matches the Rfam family "Bacterial small subunit ribosomal RNA", at positions 29 to 507 of the family's 1533-position model. The record is from RNAcentral.
GUGAACGCUGGCGGUAGGCCUAACACAUGCAAGUCGAACAGCAGCACAGUAAGAGCUUGCUCUUACGGGUGGCGAGUGGCGGACGGGUGAGGAAUACAUCGGAAUCUACUUUUUCGUGGGGGAUAACGUAGGGAAACUUACGCUAAUACCGCAUACGACCUACGGGUGAAAGCAGGGGAUCUUCGGACCUUGCGCGAUUGAAUGAGCCGAUGUCGGAUUAGCUAGUUGGCGGGGUAAAGGCCCACCAAGGCGACGAUCCGUAGCUGGUCUGAGAGGAUGAUCAGCCACACUGGAACUGAGACACGGUCCAGACUCCUACGGGAGGCAGCAGUGGGGAAUAUUGGACAAUGGGCGCAAGCCUGAUCCAGCCAUACCGCGUGGGUGAAGAAGGCCUUCGGGUUGUAAAGCCCUUUUGUUGGGAAAGAAAAGCAGCAGGUUAAUACCCCGCUGUUCUGACGGUACCCAAAGAAUAAGCACCGGCUAACUUCGUG